This 482-nucleotide ribosomal RNA is filed under the name uncultured bacterium. RNAcentral's name for it is "partial 16S ribosomal RNA". It matches the Rfam family "Bacterial small subunit ribosomal RNA", at positions 29 to 507 of the family's 1533-position model. The record is from RNAcentral.
AUUGAACGCUGGCGGCAUGCCUUACACAUGCAAGUCGAACGGUAACAGGGCUUCGGAUCUUGACGAGAGGCGGACGGGGGAGAAAUGUAUCGGCACGCGCCCGAUCGUGGGGGAGAAUGAAGCGCAAGCGCUGCAAAUACCGCACACGCUCUACGAAGGAAAACAGGGGACCGCAAGUGCUUGCUCGCACGGAGCGCCCGAUGGCGGAUUAUGUAGUUGGUGGGGUAAAGGCGUACCAAGGAGACGAUCUCCGGCUGGUCUGAGAGGACGACCAGCCACACUGGGACUGAGACACGGACCCGACUCCUCCGGGAGGCAGCAGUGGGGAAUUUUGGACAAUGGGCGCAAGCCUGAUCCAGCCAUGCCGAGUGAGGGAAGAAGGCCUUCGGGUUGUAAACCGCUUUUGUUCGGGAAGAAAAGAUUUUGGUUAAUACCUGGGGUCCAUGACGGUACCGGAAGAAUAAGCACCGGCUAACUACGUG